CCCUUAGACGUUCUGGGCCGCACGCGCGCUACACUGACCAGUGCAACAACCAUCCGUCCUUGGCCGACAGGCUCGGGCAAUCUUUGAACGCUGGUCGUGAUGGGGAUAGACUUUUGCAAUUUUUGGUCUUCAACGAGGAAUUCCUAGUAAACGCAAGUCAUCAACUUGCAUUGAUUACGUCCCUGCCCUUUGUACACACCGCCCGUCGCACCUACCGAUUGAAUGGUCCGGUGAAGCCUCCGGAUUGGCGCGCACCUCGGUGCCGCCGAGAAGUUGGCUAAACCUUACCAUUUAGAGGAAGGUGAAGUCGUAACA
This 315-nucleotide ribosomal RNA is filed under the name uncultured eukaryote. RNAcentral describes it as "partial 18S ribosomal RNA". It matches the Rfam family "Eukaryotic small subunit ribosomal RNA", at positions 1470 to 1796 of the family's 1831-position model. The record is from RNAcentral.